RNAcentral lists this ribosomal RNA (504 nucleotides) under uncultured bacterium. Its description in RNAcentral is "partial 16S ribosomal RNA". It matches the Rfam family "Bacterial small subunit ribosomal RNA", at positions 30 to 523 of the family's 1533-position model. The record is from RNAcentral.
AUUGAACGCUGGCGGCAGGCCUAACACAUGCAAGUCGAACGGUAGCACAGAGAGCUUGCUCUCGGGUGACGAGUGGCGGACGGGUGAGUAAUGUCUGGGAAACUGCCCGAUGGAGGGGGAUAACUACUGGAAACGGUAGCUAAUGCCGCAUAACGUCGCAAGACCAAAGUGGGGGACCUUCGGGCCUCACACCAUCGGAUGUGCCCAGAUGGGAUUAGCUAGUAGGUGGGGUAAUGGCUCACCUAGGCGACGAUCCCUAGCUGGUCUGAGAGGAUGACCAGCCACACUGGAACUGAGACACGGGCCAGACUCCUACGGGAGGCAGCAGUGGGGAAUAUUGCACAAUGGGCGCAAGCCUGAUGCAGCCAUGCCGCGUGUAUGAAGAAGGCCUUCGGGUUGUAAAGUACUUUCAGCGGGGAGGAAGGCGGUGAAGUUAAUAACUUCACCGAUUGACGUUACCCGCAGAAGAAGCACCGGCUAACUCCGUGCCAGCAGCCGCCGUAA